This 434-nucleotide ribosomal RNA is filed under the name uncultured bacterium. RNAcentral describes it as "bacterial SSU rRNA". It matches the Rfam family "Bacterial small subunit ribosomal RNA", at positions 8 to 440 of the family's 1533-position model. The record is from RNAcentral.
AGAGUUUGAUCAUGGCUCAGAUUGAACGCUGGCGGCAGGCUUAACACAUGCAAGUCGAACGGUAACAGAACUAGCUUGCUAGUUGCUGACGAGUGGCGGACGGGUGAGUAACGCGUAGGAAUCUACCGAAUAGUGGGGGACAACAGUUGGAAACGGCUGCUAAUACCGCAUACGCCCUACGGGGGAAAGGAGGGGAUCUUCGGACCUUUCGCUAUUUGAUGAGCCUGCGUGAGAUUAGUUAGUUGGUGGGGUAAUGGCUCACCAAGGCGACGAUCUCUAGCUGGUCUGAGAGGAUGAUCAGCCACACUGGGACUGAGACACGGCCCAGACUCCUACGGGAGNCAGCAGUGGGGAAUAUUGCACAAUGGGGGAAACCCUGAUGCAGCCAUGCCGCGUGUGUGAAGAAGGCCUUCGGGUUGUAAAGCACUUUCAGU